GUCGAACGAGUUCUCGUUGAUGAUCGGUGCUUGCACCGAGAUUCAACAUGGAACGAGUGGCGGACGGGUGAGUAACACGUGGGUAACCUGCCCUUAAGUGGGGGAUAACAUUUGGAAACAGAUGCUAAUACCGCAUAGAUCCAAGAACCGCAUGGUUCUUGGCUGAAAGAUGGCGUAAGCUAUCGCUUUUGGAUGGACCCGCGGCGUAUUAGCUAGUUGGUGAGGUAAUGGCUCACCAAGGCGAUGAUACGUAGCCGAACUGAGAGGUUGAUCGGCCACAUUGGGACUGAGACACGGCCCAAACUCCUACGGGAGGCAGCAGUAGGGAAUCUUCCACAAUGGACGCAAGUCUGAUGGAGCAACGCCGCGUGAGUGAAGAAGGCUUUCGGGUCGUAAAACUCUGUUGUUGGAGAAGAAUGGUCGGCAGAGUAACUGUUGUCGGCGUGACGGUAUCCAACCAGAAAGCCACGGCUAACUACGUGCCAGCAGCCGCGGUAAUACGUAGGUGGCAAGCGUUAUCCGGAUUUAUUGGGCGUAAAGCGAGCGCAGGCGGUUUUUUAAGUCUGAUGUGAAAGCCCUCGGCUUAACCGAGGAAGCGCAUCGGAAACUGGGAAACUUGAGUGCAGAAGAGGACAGUGGAACUCCAUGUGUAGCGGUGAAAUGCGUAGAUAUAUGGAAGAACACCAGUGGCGAAGGCGGCUGUCUGGUCUGUAACUGACGCUGAGGCUCGAAAGCAUGGGUAGCGAACAGGAUUAGAUACCCUGGUAGUCCAUGCCGUAAACGAUGAAUGCUAGGUGUUGGAGGGUUUCCGCCCUU
This 816-nucleotide ribosomal RNA is filed under the name uncultured bacterium. RNAcentral describes it as "bacterial SSU rRNA". It matches the Rfam family "Bacterial small subunit ribosomal RNA", at positions 61 to 840 of the family's 1533-position model. The record is from RNAcentral.